RNAcentral lists this transfer RNA (70 nucleotides) under Starksia nanodes (dwarf blenny). Its description in RNAcentral is "tRNA-Ile". It matches the Rfam family "tRNA". From Rfam's summary of the family: Transfer RNA (tRNA) molecules are approximately 80 nucleotides in length. Lineage: Eukaryota; Metazoa; Chordata; Actinopteri; Blenniiformes; Labrisomidae. The record is from RNAcentral.
GGAGUUGUGCCUGAACUAAAGGAUCACUUUGAUAGGGUGAAUAAUGAAGGUUAAAACCCCUCCGACUCCU